GAUGAACGCUGGCGGCGUGCCUAAUACAUGCAAGUAGAACGCUGAAGCUUGGUGCUUGCACCGAGCGGAUGAGUUGCGAACGGGUGAGUAACGCGUAGGUAACCUGCCUGGUAGCGGGGGAUAACUAUUGGAAACGAUAGCUAAUACCGCAUGACAACAGUUAUUGCAUGAUAGCUGUUUAAAAGGGGCAAUUGCUCCACUACCAGAUGGACCUGCGUUGUAUUAGCUAGUUGGUGAGGUAACGGCUCACCAAGGCGACGAUACAUAGCCGACCUGAGAGGGUGAUCGGCCACACUGGGACUGAGACACGGCCCAGACUCCUACGGGAGGCAGCAGUAGGGAAUCUUCGGCAAUGGACGGAAGUCUGACCGAGCAACGCCGCGUGAGUGAAGAAGGUUUUCGGAUCGUAAAGCUCUGUUGUAAGAGAAGAACGAGUGUGAGAGUGGAAAGUUCACACUGUGACGGUAUCUUACCAGAAAGGGACGGCUAACUACGUGCCAGCAGCCGCGGUAAUACGUAGGUCCCGAGCGUUGUCCGGAUUUAUUGGGCGUAAAGCGAGCGCAGGCGGUUAGAUAAGUCUGAAGUUAAAGGCUGUGGCUUAACCAUAGUACGCUUUGGAAACUGUUUAACUUGAGUGCAAGAGGGGAGAGUGGAAUUCCAUGUGUAGCGGUGAAAUGCGUAGAUAUAUGGAGGAACACCGGUGGCGAAAGCGGCUCUCUGGCUUGUAACUGACGCUGAGGCUCGAAAGCGUGGGGAGCAAACAGG
RNAcentral lists this ribosomal RNA (765 nucleotides) under uncultured Streptococcus sp. RNAcentral's name for it is "bacterial SSU rRNA". It matches the Rfam family "Bacterial small subunit ribosomal RNA", at positions 28 to 776 of the family's 1533-position model. Lineage: Bacteria; Bacillati; Bacillota; Bacilli; Lactobacillales; Streptococcaceae. The record is from RNAcentral.